GAAAAGUGAAUAUUAUGCCGUCGUAUAAUAUCGGGGAUAUGGCCCGAAAGUUUCUACCUAGCUACCGUAAAUGGCUUGACUACGAGGCGUUUUUAUAAAGAU
This is a non-coding RNA of Bacillus cereus Rock4-18, 102 nucleotides long. NCBI's taxonomy places the organism in Bacteria, Bacillati, Bacillota, Bacilli, Caryophanales, Bacillaceae. The record is from Rfam.